This 562-nucleotide ribosomal RNA is filed under the name Clonostachys rosea f. catenulata. RNAcentral describes it as "eukaryotic LSU rRNA". The stretch from base 180 to 333 matches the Rfam family "5.8S ribosomal RNA". The record is from RNAcentral. Lineage: Eukaryota; Fungi; Ascomycota; Sordariomycetes; Hypocreales; Bionectriaceae.
UGAACCUGCGGAGGGAUCAUUACCGAGUUUACAACUCCCAAACCCAUGUGAACAUACCUAUUGUUGCUUCGGCGGGAUUGCCCCGGGCGCCUCGUGUGCCCCGGAUCAGGCGCCCGCCUAGGAAACUCAACUCUUGUUUUAUUUUGGAAUCUUCUGAGUAGUUUUUACAAAUAAAUAAAAACUUUCAACAACGGAUCUCUUGGUUCUGGCAUCGAUGAAGAACGCAGCGAAAUGCGAUAAGUAAUGUGAAUUGCAGAAUUCAGUGAAUCAUCGAAUCUUUGAACGCACAUUGCGCCCGCCAGUAUUCUGGCGGGCAUGCCUGUCUGAGCGUCAUUUCAACCCUCAUGCCCCUAGGGCGUGGUGUUGGGGAUCGGCCAAAGCCCGCGAGGGACGGCCGGCCCCUAAAUCUAGUGGCGGACCCGUCGUGGCCUCCUCUGCGAAGUAGUGAUAUUCCGCAUCGGAGAGCGACGAGCCCCUGCCGUUAAACCCCCAACUUUCCAAGGUUGACCUCAGAUCAGGUAGGAAUACCCGCUGAACUUAAGCAUAUCAAUAAGCGGAGGAA